This 396-nucleotide ribosomal RNA is filed under the name uncultured Devosia sp. RNAcentral's name for it is "bacterial SSU rRNA". It matches the Rfam family "Bacterial small subunit ribosomal RNA", at positions 68 to 507 of the family's 1533-position model. The record is from RNAcentral. Lineage: Bacteria; Pseudomonadati; Pseudomonadota; Alphaproteobacteria; Hyphomicrobiales; Devosiaceae.
GCGUGUAGCAAAUACACGAGUGGCGCACGGGUGAGUAACACGUGGAUAUCUGCCUUUUGGUUCGGAAUAACCCUGGGAAACUAGGGCUAAUACCGAAUGGUUCCUACGGGAUAAAGAUUUAUCGCCAAAAGAUGAGUCCGCGUCCGAUUAGCUAGUUGGUGAGGUAAUGGCUCACCAAGGCGACGAUCGGUAGCUGGUCUGAGAGGACGAUCAGCCACACUGGGACUGAGACACGGCCCAGACUCCUACGGGAGGCAGCAGUGGGGAAUAUUGGACAAUGGGGGCAACCCUGAUCCAGCCAUGCCGCGUGAGUGAUGAAGGCCUUCGGGUUGUAAAGCUCUUUUGGCGGGGACGAUGAUGACGGUACCCGCAGAAUAAGCCCCGGCUAACUUCGUG